AUGGUGUUCCACCCUCCCAACUACACACACCAGGUGUAGUGACUGAUUGGGGGGCGGGGCAGAUAGCUUUAAAGCUGAGCAGUCCGCUGCGAGGUGCGUGUGCUUUGUUUCCUUACCGUGUGUCGGCUGCCCAAGUGGCUGGUGUGCUCGAUCCACUCAUCCAAAAUAGUAAGUGCCAUUUUGCCAUCUGGGCUGGGGAUUGUUGUCGGGUUCUGGUGCAAUACCUGCCGUGCGUUUCUGCAGCGUUGCGCGGCUGGCGUUGGCGGCUGCAGUUGGAGGUUGGUGCGGCGAGCGGCUUCCGUCCGGCCCUCGCCUGCUGAUCCGCUCCCUCCCUGGUCGGCUGUGUCACCACAUCUGGGAUUCUUCCGGAGUUGCAGCGCUUGGACGCUCCUGCUGUCUUGUCUGUCUUGCCGGUUUUGUUUGGGCCGCUCUCGGCGGAGCCUGCUGACGCUUGGGCUGGCGGAACGAGCGGGGCACGACUCCUCUGGCCCCGUGAAAAGACAUUAGAAGUCGGACAACGACAGUUUGUCCCAUCGUUUGCAGUG
Cyprinodon tularosa is the source of this 545-nucleotide long non-coding RNA. RefSeq lists it as uncharacterized. The record is from RefSeq and is a predicted model, not a curated record. Lineage: Eukaryota; Metazoa; Chordata; Actinopteri; Cyprinodontiformes; Cyprinodontidae. The transcript has 2 exons.